CUGGAGAGGCAGGAUUCGAACCUACGAUCAGGGGACCAAAGCCCCUUGCCUUACCGCUUGGCUACUCUCCA
This 71-nucleotide transfer RNA is filed under the name Roseovarius sp. 217 phage 1. RNAcentral's name for it is "transfer RNA-Glu". Lineage: Duplodnaviria; Heunggongvirae; Uroviricota; Caudoviricetes; Schitoviridae. The record is from RNAcentral.